RNAcentral lists this ribosomal RNA (729 nucleotides) under Salmonella enterica subsp. enterica serovar 4,[5],12:i:-. Its description in RNAcentral is "partial 23S ribosomal RNA". It matches the Rfam family "Bacterial large subunit ribosomal RNA", at positions 1187 to 1874 of the family's 2925-position model. Lineage: Bacteria; Pseudomonadati; Pseudomonadota; Gammaproteobacteria; Enterobacterales; Enterobacteriaceae. The record is from RNAcentral.
UGACGGAGCGAAGCGACGUCAAAGCGUUCAUUAAAGUCGAGUUGGCUUAGGGAUACGUUCGUUGGGUAGGGGAGCGUUCUGUAAGCCUGUGAAGGUGUGUCGUGAGGCAUGCUGGAGGUAUCAGAAGUGCGAAUGCUGACAUAAGUAACGAUAAAGCGGGUGAAAAGCCCGCUCGCCGGAAGACCAAGGGUUCCUGUCCAACGUUAAUCGGGGCAGGGUGAGUCGACCCCUAAGGCGAGGCCGAAAGGCGUAGUCGAUGGGAAACGGGUUAAUAUUCCCGUACUUGGUGUUACUGCGAAGGGGGGACGGAGAAGGCUAUGUUGGCCGGGCGACGGUUGUCCCGGUUUAAGCGUGUAGGUGUGUGUUCCAGGUAAAUCCGGUUCACUUUAACACUGAGGCGUGACGACGAGGCACUACGGUGCUGAAGCAACAAAUGCCCUGCUUCCAGGAAAAGCCUCUAAGCAUCAGGUAACACGAAAUCGUACCCCAAACCGACACAGGUGGUCAGGUAGAGAAUACCAAGGCGCUUGAGAGAACUCGGGUGAAGGAACUAGGCAAAAUGGUGCCGUAACUUCGGGAGAAGGCACGCUGACACGUAGGUGAAGUGAUUUACUCAUGGAGCUGAAGUCAGUCGAAGAUACCAGCUGGCUGCAACUGUUUAUUAAAAACACAGCACUGUGCAAACACGAAAGUGGACGUAUACGGUGUGACGCCUGCCCGGUGCCGGAA